Molecule: ribosomal RNA, 1491 nt
Filed under: Triticum aestivum (bread wheat)
Lineage: Eukaryota; Viridiplantae; Streptophyta; Magnoliopsida; Poales; Poaceae
Description: partial small subunit ribosomal RNA
Source: RNAcentral
AUGAUGGCAUCCCAUGAACACCACCACCACCUCCUCGGCUUCUCCUCCUCGUCGUCGCCGGUGACUCCCAGCCCCGCCGCCAUGGCCAUGGCCUUCGACCACCACGGCCUCCUCGCCCUCCACGACGACAUGCCACCACGACCAGGAGGUGCCCAUGAUAGGUCAUGGCCACCGCAAGUGUCGACGCUCUCUCUCUAUGGCCCGGCCGGUGGUGGACCGUCUUAUUCGCUGGCCGGCGGCGAGCAUGAGCUGCAACCUUUCACGAUGGCGCCACCGUGGAUGAUGUCCAUGCAGCAGCAGCAGCAGCCCUUCCGGUUAAAUAGCUCCAGGUACCUGGGCCCCGCGAAGGAACUGCUCCGUGAGUUCUGCAGCCUUGAAGGGGAUGCCAUGAACGGCGGCGUGAUGAUGAUGCAAGCUCCGAAGCGGGAUGACGACGUGGAGGCGUCCUCACCGGCUUGUGGUCCAUGGGGCGCCAACCCUUCUGUAAGCUCCAUGGAUUACAUGGCGCUCGAGAGGAGGAAGGCCAGGCUACUGUCCAUGGUUGAAGAGGUGGACAGGUGCUACCGGCGAUACCGUGAGAAAAUGCGGGCGACAGAGUUGUCGUUCGAGGCGGUGGCCGGCACGGGGGCAGCACACGUGUACACGAAGCUGGCGAUGCGUGCCAUGUCACGCCACUUCCGGUGCCUGAGGGAUGCGCUCAUGGGGCAGAUACGAACUUUGAAGAAGUCAGUGGGGGAGAGCAGGGAUGCCAACGGCAUGUUGGUAGCACCGGGUGCAUCAAAAGGGGACACGCCGAGGCUAAGGGUUGUGGACCAAUGCCUGAGGCGACAAAGGGCGUUCCAACAAUAUGGCGGUGCCGCCGCCAUUGAGAGCUGCCCAUGGCGGCCCCAGCGCGGCCUGCCAGAGCACGCCGUCGCCGUCCUCCGCUCGUGGCUCUUUGAGCACUUCCUCCACCCGUAUCCGAAUGACGUAGACAAGCACAUUUUGGCGCGCCAAUCAGGGUUAUCAAGAAGCCAGGUUUCCAACUGGUUCAUCAAUGCAAGGGUUAGGCUAUGGAAGCCCAUGAUAGAGAAGAUGUAUGCAGAAGAAACCAUACAACAUGACGACCACGGUGCUAGCAGUGGCAGAGGUGAACCUGCUCCCGCGGAUCAACACAAUAACAACUUGGCAGCAUGGACAACGGUUACGACAACAACAGAUGAAAGUUGCCAUCGCUUUAGCAGCAAAAACAACCCUGGCGACGGCUUCAUCCCAUCCUCCUUUGUUGCCGACAGCAGACAAUUUCUCCAUGGCUACUCAAGUCUGCACGGUGAUGGCGGCAGUGGUGUGGUGUCGCUUACCUUGGGACUCCAGCAACAACAGGCGUUUGCAUCACCGGCGAUGAUCACGCAACAACAAUCGCCGCUCAUGAUUGGAGCUGAGGAGGAAGACAUGGUGCUACCGUAUAAGAACCUCAUGGGGUCUGAGCUGCUGCAUGAUUUCGUAGGCUAG